Molecule: non-coding RNA, 94 nt
Filed under: Pseudomonas cedrina
Lineage: Bacteria; Pseudomonadati; Pseudomonadota; Gammaproteobacteria; Pseudomonadales; Pseudomonadaceae
Source: RNAcentral
ACUUAUGGUAGUUGUACGUAGGGCGUCUUCGGGCGCGCCGGUUUUUUCGGAUGAAUUUCCCCGGUCUACUAACCUGCGUACAGCUGCCACCCUA